Molecule: non-coding RNA, 97 nt
Organism: Polyporus arcularius HHB13444
Lineage: Eukaryota; Fungi; Basidiomycota; Agaricomycetes; Polyporales; Polyporaceae
Source: the annotation of a GenBank genome assembly
GGUUCGAUGGUGUAGUUGGUUAUCACGUCUGUCUCACAGGAAGCCAAACAGUGGCUGUGUGCACAGGAGGUCUCCGGUUCGAGCCCGGGUCGAACCA